This is a long non-coding RNA of Daphnia pulicaria, 1296 nucleotides long. RefSeq lists it as uncharacterized. NCBI's taxonomy places the organism in Eukaryota, Metazoa, Arthropoda, Branchiopoda, Diplostraca, Daphniidae. The transcript has 5 exons. The record is from RefSeq and is a predicted model, not a curated record.
UUCCAACUGAGAAUCUAGAGAACGUCUUUGCAGUUGCAUACGACAUUUUGUCCGAUAAACACUGCGUGCAUUCGUAAGGCCUUGUUAACUAAACAUGGACACCGCAUGGAUUGUUCUCAUUUUUCUAAUGGUGUCUUGGAUUUGUCCCAAUGUUUACUUAUCGGUGUUUGCAAUCCUCCAGCUGAUUCUGACUUGGCCGGUCCAGAAAGGUUUGGCUUGGUUUCAAAAAAUCAAGUUAGAACCCAGAAUGGAUUCAUAAGUCAUCGACUCGCUCGCUCUUUAUCACCCGCUGGCGCUGUAACGUCGUUUUUUUGGAGGGAGAUGAAAGUUUUAUUUUUAUUUUGAACUUAAUAAUUAAGUACAUGCAAUCUCUCCGAUUGCUCACGUGGAUAGAUUGGCCAAUGGCGAUGUGUCUUUUUACUUUUUGUUUUCUUCCUUUCUAGUUAUUGCAUAGUUGCUUUCUUUUUUUCAUUCAAUGUUUAUGCAUAUUCAAUUAUACACCUCGCGAUGUUGUAAACGUGUUGGGUAGGUUUCCUACCGAGGUGAAGUCGAACAUGAAGAGAGAAACGAAACGAGUAUUUCCAGUUGUCGGACUUAUAAACUAACCUCUUUUACGCCAGAUAAUGACCAAACGGUACCGCAAACUAGGAACCUUUGGCUGGGAGGUUUUAGGUUGCCGAACUCGCUGACCGAGUUCCUUAAGACAUUUAACGAAGACAGCUUUUUUUUAUGCUCAUAGGGGUGUGGCUCUCACCUCUCGAAAGAUGGCGCUGUACCACCGGAGCAACCGGUUCCGGCGGUUCUAUUCCGGUUCCAUUAUGAUUAUCUUCCAAUUUUCCACGAUACCUUUGCGUAUAUUGAAAGUUGUCGCUAUCCAUUUGUUCUAGUUUUUCAAAUGCACUCAAGAACGCCUUGCAGACUUUCAGUUUGCGCAGUUCAAUUUGAAACGUCCUCUGAUAACUUACACACAAGCACUUGAUUCAUUCGUCAUCAUGGAUCUUGGAUGGGUUACCUUGAGUCUGCUGGUCGUUUUGUAUACUAGGCCGGACUUUUAUCACGUGAGUUAUUGUUUCCUGCGACGAGUUUUGACGAAACGCCAGUGAUCUGAGUUGCACUGGUCAACGGAAUUCAUCUGCAAACGCAGCGUACCUUCUUGGAUGGAGUGGAAACUUUCCUUAUUUUUGUCUGUGGCCGAUGACUACUUGAAUCACGAUUUCAGUUCGCUUAACAAAAAUAUUCAUUUCGAAAGUUGAAAAUGAUUAUGGACAUACCGGUUAAUACAAUUUUUUUUUUUCU